CGCACAGUGGCUUAGUGGUUAGCGUUCACCUCACACCUCCAGGGUCCGGGGUUCGAUUCCUGCCGGGGCCA
This is a non-coding RNA of Ameiurus melas (black bullhead), 71 nucleotides long. The record is from the annotation of a GenBank genome assembly. NCBI's taxonomy places the organism in Eukaryota, Metazoa, Chordata, Actinopteri, Siluriformes, Ictaluridae.